AACGAACGCUGGCGGCAGGCUUAACACAUGCAAGUCGAGCGCCCCGCAAGGGGAGCGGCCGACGGGUGAGUACCGCGUGGGAACGUACCUUUUGGUUCGGAACAACUCCGGGAAACUGGGGCUAAUACCGGAUAAGCCCUAACGGGGAAAGAUUUAUCGCCGAAAGAUCGGCCCGCGUCUGAUUAGCUAGUUGGUGAGGUAACGGCUCACCAAGGCGACGAUCAGUAGCUGGUCUGAGAGGAUGAUCAGCCACACUGGGACUGAGACACGGCCCAGACUCCUACGGGAGGCAGCAGUGGGGAAUAUUGGACAAUGGGCGCAAGCCUGAUCCAGCCAUGCCGCGUGAGUGAUGAAGGCCUUAGGGUUGUAAAGCUCUUUUGUCCGGGAAGAUAAUGACUGUACCGGAAGAAUAAGCCCCGGCUAACUUCGUG
This 431-nucleotide ribosomal RNA is filed under the name uncultured bacterium. RNAcentral's name for it is "partial 16S ribosomal RNA". It matches the Rfam family "Bacterial small subunit ribosomal RNA", at positions 29 to 507 of the family's 1533-position model. The record is from RNAcentral.